Molecule: ribosomal RNA, 513 nt
Filed under: uncultured bacterium
Lineage: Bacteria
Description: partial 16S ribosomal RNA
Rfam family: Bacterial small subunit ribosomal RNA
Source: RNAcentral
GACGAACGCUGGCGGCAUGCCUAAUACAUGCAUGUCGAGCGAACGGAUGAAGUGCUUGCACUUCUGACGUUAGCGGCGAACGGGUGAGUAACACGUAAGGAAUCUACCUAUAAGCGGGGGAUAACAUUCGGAAACGGGUGCUAAUACCGCAUAAUAUCUUCUUCCGCAUGGAAGAAGAUUGAAAGACGGCUCUGCUGUCACUUAUAGAUGACCUUGCGGUGCAUUAGUUAGUUGGUGGGGUAAUGGCCUACCAAGACGAUGAUGCAUAGCCGACCUGAGAGGGUGAUCGGCCACAUUGGGACUGAGACACGGCCCAAACUCCUACGGGAGGCAGCAGUAGGGAAUCUUCCGCAAUGGGCGAAAGCCUGACGGAACAGUGCCGCGUGAGUGAAGAAGGCCUUCGGGUCGUAAAACUCUGUUAUAAGAGAAGAACGAAUUGUAGAGUAACUGCUACAGUCUUGACGGUAUCUUAUCAGAAAGCCACGGCUAACUACGUGCCAGCCGCCGCCGUAA